Molecule: ribosomal RNA, 497 nt
Filed under: uncultured bacterium
Lineage: Bacteria
Description: partial 16S ribosomal RNA
Rfam family: Bacterial small subunit ribosomal RNA
Source: RNAcentral
GAUGAACGCUGGCGGCGUGCCUAAUACAUGCAAGUCGAGCGAACAGACGAGGAGCUUGCUCCUCUGACGUUAGCGGCGGACGGGUGAGUAACACGUGGAUAACCUACCUAUAAGACUGGGAUAACUUCGGGAAACCGGAGCUAAUACCGGAUAAUAUAUUGAACCGCAUGGUUCAAUAGUGAAAGACGGUUUUGCUGUCACUUAUAGAUGGAUCCGCGCCGCAUUAGCUAGUUGGUAAGGUAACGGCUUACCAAGGCGACGAUGCGUAGCCGACCUGAGAGGGUGAUCGGCCACACUGGAACUGAGACACGGUCCAGACUCCUACGGGAGGCAGCAGUAGGGAAUCUUACGCAAUGGGCGAAAGCCUGACGGAGCAGCGCCGCGUGAGUGAUGAAGGUCUUCGGAUCGUAAAACUCUGUUAUUAGGGAAGAACAAAUGUGUAAGUAACUAUGCACGUCUUGACGGUACCUAAUCAGAAAGCCACGGCUAACUACGUG